RNAcentral lists this ribosomal RNA (760 nucleotides) under Pseudoalteromonas sp. RNAcentral's name for it is "bacterial SSU rRNA". It matches the Rfam family "Bacterial small subunit ribosomal RNA", at positions 39 to 797 of the family's 1533-position model. The record is from RNAcentral. Lineage: Bacteria; Pseudomonadati; Pseudomonadota; Gammaproteobacteria; Alteromonadales; Pseudoalteromonadaceae.
GAGGUGUGGCGCAGCUACCUGCAGUCGAGCGGUACAUAUAUACUUGCUACUUUGCUGACGAGCGGCGGACGGGAGAGUAAUGCUUGAGAACAUGCCUUGAGGUGGGGGACAACAGGUGGAAACCAGUGCUAAUACCGCAUAGUGUCUACGGACCAAAGGGGGCUUCCGCUCUCCCCUUUAUAUUGCCCCAAGUGGGAUUAUCUAUUUGGUGAGGUAGUGGCUCCCCAGGGCCACUAUCCCUAUGUGGUUUGAGAGGAUGAUCCCCCACUCUGGCACUGACACACGCCCCACACUCCUACGGGAGGCAGCAGUGGGGAAUAUUGCACAGUGGGCGCAAGCCUGAUGCACCCGUGCCGCGUGUGUGAAAAGCGCCUUCGGGUUGUAAAGCUCUUUCACUCGAGAAGAAAGGUUAAUAUUUAAUACCUGCUAUCUGUGACGUUACUGACAAAAAAAGCCCCGUCUAUCUCCGUGCCAACACCCGCGGUAAUACAGAGGGUGCGAGCGUUACUCAAAAUUACUGGGCGUAAAGCAUACACACGCGGUGUGUUAAGCGAUAUGUGAAACCCCCGGUCUCAACCUGAAAACUGCAUUUCAAACUGGCAAACUAGAGUGAGAUAGAGGGUGGUAAAAUUUCGUGUGUAGCGGAGAAAUGCAUAGAGAUCUGAGAGAAUACCUAUGGCAAGCGCACCCAUCUGUCUCAACUCUGACUCUCAUGUACGAAAGCGUGGAGAGCAAACAAGAUUAUAUCCCGUGGUACACA